GACGAACGCUGGCGGCGUGCUUAACACAUGCAAGUCGAACGGAAAGGCCCUGCUUUUGUGGGGUGCUCGAGGGGCGAACGGGUGAGUAACACGUGAGUAACCUGCCCUUGACUUUGGGAUAACUCCAGGAAACUGGGGCUAAUACCGGAUAGGAGCUCCUGCUGCAUGGUGGGGGUUGGAAAGUUUCGGCGGUUGGGGAUGGACUCGCGGCUUAUCAGCUUGUUGGUGGGGUAGUGGCUUACCAAGGCUUUGACGGGUAGCCGGCCUGGGAGGGUGACCGGCCACAUUGGGCCUGAGAUACGGCCCAGACUCCUACGGGAGGCAGCAGUGGGGAAUAUUGCACAAUGGGCGGACGCCUGAUGCAGCAACGCCGCGUGCGGGAUGACGGCCUUCGGGUUGUAAACCGCUUUCGCCUGUGACGAAGCGUGAGUGACGGUAAUGGGUAAAGAAGCACCGGCUAACUACGUG
Molecule: ribosomal RNA, 468 nt
Filed under: uncultured bacterium
Lineage: Bacteria
Description: partial 16S ribosomal RNA
Rfam family: Bacterial small subunit ribosomal RNA
Source: RNAcentral